UACGUAGGUGGCAAGCGUUGUUCGGAAUUACUGGGCGUAAAGGGCUCGUAGGUGGCCAACUAAGUCGGACGUGAAAUCCCUCGGCUUAACCGGGGAACUGCAUCCGAUACUGGAUGGCUUGAGUUCGGGAGAGGGAUGCGGAAUUCCAGGUGUAGCGGUGAAAUGCGUAGAUAUCUGGAGGAACACCGGUGGCGAAGGCGGCAUCCUGGACCGACACUGACGCUGAGGAGCGAAAGCCAGGGGAGCAAACGGG
This 253-nucleotide ribosomal RNA is filed under the name uncultured bacterium. RNAcentral's name for it is "partial 16S ribosomal RNA". It matches the Rfam family "Bacterial small subunit ribosomal RNA", at positions 524 to 776 of the family's 1533-position model. The record is from RNAcentral.